AAACGCGCACAUAUCUUUCGAUCUCUCUCUCUCGUAAGGGCGCCGGGCCCCUUCCUGGUCGUCCAGGCGAUGCACGUCGUGCUUUCACACGUCAUGUCUCACUCAUGCUUUUCUUUUGCGUCUUAGCCUUCUAUUGUGGCGGCAGCCCCGAAGACGGAGGGUGGGGUGGGGUGGGGAAGUAGUUUGGCACACACCUCGGUGUGUGCGGUGCCAGGGAUCAGUGCCCGCUCUGUGGGGAAAUCCUGGCAGCCCCUCCUCCUCCUAUCUCCGCGAAUGCCGAACUACCUCCGGUAGUGGCAAGAUCAAGUACCCGCAACGUAGGGAAGUCAGUGCGAUGUAUUUGCUAUUCAUGCCAGCGGGCAGGUCCUGGAUGGGCGUGGCGUCGGAGCGACGCGCGACCGUGAACAGGGUUGUGCCAUCCAUAUAGUAGGCAGGGUGUCAGCGUGACUCAAACGUGGCCCAACCGUCCCUCGCACUGCCUGCGGGGCGGGGUGUGGGUGGGUAGGGUUUGAGGUAGGGGUCGUGCUCCGAUGACUGCGUCGGUGCAUUGCUGGAGCGCGCGUCUGCACGACUGCUUCGCACCACGCGAGGCACCCCUGUGGCAGGCAGGCCAGGAGUUGCUCGGGUGGCGCAUGACCUCAUGUUGUACGGCCGAGCAUUGGACACGUUGCGAAGUGAGAAAGACAACUCAACGGGAGUGCGCAACUGUGCCGCGAAGCCUCAUGAGGCGCAUGCUCUUACUGUUUCCGCAAGUCAGAUGUUUUAUCUGCUGAGUGCGCGCCUCUGGUUUUUCUUUUUUUUUGUUUCAUUUUUGUGGUUACUGUCUUACUUCCAACGUGCCGCUCUUCCUUUCCCGCUUUUCUUCUCUUCUUUCGUACUCUGAAG
RNAcentral lists this unclassified non-coding RNA (885 nucleotides) under Leishmania donovani. Its description in RNAcentral is "gene:unknown". The record is from RNAcentral. Lineage: Eukaryota; Euglenozoa; Kinetoplastea; Trypanosomatida; Trypanosomatidae.